RNAcentral lists this long non-coding RNA (896 nucleotides) under Mytilus galloprovincialis (Mediterranean mussel). Lineage: Eukaryota; Metazoa; Mollusca; Bivalvia; Mytilida; Mytilidae. The record is from RNAcentral.
GUUCGGGCCGUGUGUGUGUUCUUUUGCAUUGUUUCAUUCACUGUCAUCCCGGAUCCUGCUAUAGCCAACUAAACGGUAUGAGUUGUGCUAAUUGUUUAUUCGUUGAUCCCUGGUGGAUAGUUGUGUUCAUUGUUUAUUCGUUGGUCCCUGGUGGAUAGUUGUGUUCAUUGUUUAUUCGUUGGUCCCUGGUAGAUAGUUGUGUUCCUUGUUUAUUCGUUGGUCCCUGGUGGAAUGUUGUGUUCAUUGUUUAUUCGUUGGUCACUGGUGGAUAGUUCAUUGUUUAUUCGUUGGUCCCUGGUGGAAUGUUGUGUUCAUUGUUUAUUCGUUGGUCCCUGGUGAGUAGUUGUUUUCAUUGUUUAUUUUUUGGUCCCUGGUGGAUAGUUAAGUUCAUUGUUUAUUCAUUGUUCCCUGGUUAGAUAGUUGUGUUCAUUGUUUAUUCGUUGGUCCCUUGUGGAUAGUUUUGGUCUCUUGUGGAUAGUUGAGUUCAUUGUUUAUUCGUUGGUCCCUGGUGGAUAGUUUUCUCAUUGUUUAUUCGUUGGUCCCUAGUUGAUAGUUGUGUUCAUUGUUUUAUUCGUUGGUCCCUGGUGAAUAGUUCAGUUCAUUGUUUAUUCGUUGGUCUCUGGUGGAUAAUUGUCUCAUUGUUUAUUCGUUGGUCCCUGGUGGAAUGUUGUCUCAUUGUUUAUUCGUUGGUCCCUAGUUGAUAGUUGUGUUCAUUGUUUUAUUCGUUGGUCCCUGGUGGAUAGUUCAGUUCAUUGUUUAUUCGUUGGUCUCUGGUGGAUAAUUGUCUCAUUGUUUAUUCGUUGGUCCCUGGUUGAUAGUUAUAUUCAUUGUUUAUUCUUGGUCCCUAGUUGAUAGUUGUGUUCAUUGUUUUAUUCGUUGGUCCCUAAAGGAUAGUU